RNAcentral lists this long non-coding RNA (604 nucleotides) under Salvia miltiorrhiza (redroot sage). RNAcentral's name for it is "long non-coding RNA (SMIL_LNC013756)". The record is from RNAcentral. Lineage: Eukaryota; Viridiplantae; Streptophyta; Magnoliopsida; Lamiales; Lamiaceae.
AAGAGUAUAAUUUUGGGGAUUUUUGGCUAAAAAUGGCGUUUUUACGCCAGACCAGACCAGAGCAGAGAAAUCGUCUCAGACAGAGCAGAGAACUCACUAAGUCAGAGAAAAGCGCCAGAGGAGAGAAAAGCGCCAGAGGAGUCGACCGUCAGAGGAAUCGAGGCGAGCGUGGACAUGCCAGAGAAAUCACCCGCCAGAGCGGAGGAAGCGCCAGAGGAAUCAAGGCGCCAGAGGAAUCAAGGCGCCAGAGGAGUCAAUAUGCCAGAGGGUAGAGAUACGUCAGAGGAAUCAAUACCAGAGCGGAACCCAUUCCGCUGACAAGAUCAGAGAAGUCAUCCGUUCCUCUGGCGAUAACCAUUCCUCUGGCGAGAGCCGCGAUUUCCGCCCGAGUGGAGAUUACUUGCUGAGCGCGUCAUAGCUGGAGUUACCUUAUCAUCUACGAUUCUAUUCCUUUUAGAGUCCGGCUUUGCAUGGUAAUUUCCAUGGUGAUCCAGAAGGAGUUGAAGUCUAUAAAUAGGGCCAUAGUUUUCAUUGUAUAAUCAAUCUUUUGCCCUAGUUUUAGACGCCACCUUGCGAUUUGUUGGCAUCAAAAGCUUAGGAAUUU